AGUCGAUACCUUCGCAUUUUCAUCACUUGAAGGUGUGAUUUAGUCAUAAAAGCUUAACCUUGAUUUGCAGAAAAGUGAUCACAUACACUUGAAUCUAGCGACAAGUAAACGAACAACUUUUGGUCACGGUCGCUGAUUUAUGUCGCUAUCGACAUGUAAACAAACAGGACCAAAGUCAUGACAUCACCAUUUGUCGUUAAUUUUGUUUGUUCCUCUUUUUUUUAUUAUUUUUUUUUUGAAUAUCUGACAGUUCAAGUUCGAAUGUCCUAUAUUUUUUAGAGAUGAGAUCUACAUGAAGUUAAAUUCAUGUCAUUUAGAGAAAAAAUCCCUUCCAACAGGCGUCGAACCCAUCAGCUCUAUCUCAAAGAUUUACUACUGGACCAAUACCACGUUGGUUUUGCUUCUUCCUCUUCUCGUGAGAUUCUUCUACUUCAAUGCUUCUGAUUCUUCUAUGUUCUUAAUCUUUCAACAAAUACAGUAGUACCUUUAGGAUCUGCCCAGAAGGCUGCGGUAUCUUUGAUCUCCCUUACCAGGCCCCAAUCUUCUCAAAUCCCAUAGCAGUAAAACAAUUAAGAAUCGUUGGACUUAGGCUUAUCUCAGAGAUUUUAAUGUAAUGGGUUAUAGAUUACGACCGGCUUUAGAUUCCGAGGCAU
This 653-nucleotide small RNA is filed under the name Arabidopsis thaliana (thale cress). Its description in RNAcentral is "ATSL190550". The record is from RNAcentral. Lineage: Eukaryota; Viridiplantae; Streptophyta; Magnoliopsida; Brassicales; Brassicaceae.